This 254-nucleotide ribosomal RNA is filed under the name uncultured bacterium. Its description in RNAcentral is "partial 16S ribosomal RNA". It matches the Rfam family "Bacterial small subunit ribosomal RNA", at positions 524 to 776 of the family's 1533-position model. The record is from RNAcentral.
UACGUAGGGUGCAAGCGUUGUCCGGAUUUAUUGGGCGUAAAGAGCUCGUAGGCGGUUCGGCAAGUCAGAUGUAAAAACUCCAGGCUCAACUUGGAGAGGCCAUCUGAUACUGCCGUGACUAGAGUCCGGUAGAGGAGCACGGAAUUCCUGGUGUAGCGGUGAAAUGCGCAGAUAUCAGGAGGAACACCAGCGGCGAAGGCGGUGCUCUGGGCCGGAACUGACGCUGAGGAGCGAAAGCGUGGGGAGCGAACAGG